UUCAGUCCCUGCACACGUUUGUUUUUUUUCAGAAGGGUAUCAAGUCGCUCGCCCAUCUGUGAUGCCGACGGCACGGAGUUGGCUGAGACACGAGCGCACACCGGCGCUUGAAAUACACACACAAGUUACAUAAAGACACGGCGCGACGCACACACGUCCACAGAUGUGAGGAUGUUCUGCUCAUCACAUCCUCAUGUGAGCAUUUGUAUCCAGAAAGGGACGUUCUGGAUGCUCAAAGAAAGACCUCAAGUCCUCUUUUUAUGUUCAAGACAGAUGAAGUCGAUGAAACUCGACAGUCUUCGGUCGUUAGAAGGAAGAACCGCGACAGGCGAGCGCUCGUUUCCCUUCCCUGAGAUUUAGUGUCAGUCAGACGGCCAAUUAAGAUCCGCACUGAUGGACGAGCACGGAAUGAAGAGUCACACCCUGCUCUCCAACUGGCCACGCAAGCUUCCCACAUUCCAACCUGCACCGCUGUCUUUUCAGGUAAGACGAUGAGCCGCUAUUAGCAUCGACGCUAGUUUCGUCAUAGAGUAAUCCGUGACGGCCGUCACACCUGAGGCUCUUUGGAUUUUUAGAGUGUACAAGGGGGGAGGUUCUUAUCUGAUCCAGACCACUUUAGGACAACACCUGUGGCAUCCAGGACGAUAUAUUACCACCUAAGUAGCCGUGAGCCCC
This is a long non-coding RNA of Gasterosteus aculeatus aculeatus (three-spined stickleback), 675 nucleotides long. Lineage: Eukaryota; Metazoa; Chordata; Actinopteri; Perciformes; Gasterosteidae. The record is from Ensembl.